CCAUCUUCUUUGUUCUCGAAGUCUAUUUCGAACAAUCCUCUCAAUUUCUAGAUCAAAAGCAGUAAGAAAGUUUGAAUUUCUUCGAGUCAUAAAAUACCUAAAAUGAAGUUAAGGAAAUAGCAACGAAGAAAAAUAAAUUGUUAGUGAAUACUAAGUAUUAUAUAAGGAAAAUAAAAUUCAAAACACACAAAAACAAAAAUAAACAUAAAAAAAAGCC
RNAcentral lists this long non-coding RNA (217 nucleotides) under Gossypium raimondii (Peruvian cotton). Its description in RNAcentral is "long non-coding RNA (GRAI_LNC004642)". The record is from RNAcentral. Lineage: Eukaryota; Viridiplantae; Streptophyta; Magnoliopsida; Malvales; Malvaceae.